GAUGAACGCUAGCUACAGGCUUAACACAUGCAAGUCGAGGGGCAGCGGGAUUGAAGCUUGCUUCAAUUGCCGGCGACCGGCGCACGGGUGAGUAACGCGUAUCCAACCUUCCGUACACUCAGGGAUAGCCUUUCGAAAGAAAGAUUAAUACCUGAUGGUAUCUUAAGCACACAUGUAAUUAAGAUUAAAGAUUUAUCGGUGUACGAUGGGGAUGCGUUCCAUUAGGUAGUAGGCGGGGUAACGGCCCACCAAGCCUUCGAUGGAUAGGGGUUCUGAGGGGAAGGUCCCCCACAUUGGAACUGAGACACGGUCCAA
RNAcentral lists this ribosomal RNA (315 nucleotides) under uncultured bacterium. RNAcentral describes it as "bacterial SSU rRNA". It matches the Rfam family "Bacterial small subunit ribosomal RNA", at positions 28 to 334 of the family's 1533-position model. The record is from RNAcentral.